UAGCCUAAAGGUAAGGGCUAUGGAUCACCAAUCCAGCGACGGCGGGUUCGAUUCCCGU
Aedes albopictus (Asian tiger mosquito) is the source of this 58-nucleotide non-coding RNA. NCBI's taxonomy places the organism in Eukaryota, Metazoa, Arthropoda, Insecta, Diptera, Culicidae. The record is from Rfam.